RNAcentral lists this long non-coding RNA (279 nucleotides) under Actinidia chinensis (golden kiwifruit). Its description in RNAcentral is "long non-coding RNA (ACHI_LNC009705)". The record is from RNAcentral. Lineage: Eukaryota; Viridiplantae; Streptophyta; Magnoliopsida; Ericales; Actinidiaceae.
GGACUGGCAAAGACAUUCGCGACACCGUUUUUUUUUUUUUUAAAAAAAAACUUCUUAUUCUAGUAAUAUUAACUAUAAAUAUGUUCAAAUUACACAGAUUCACCUCCCCAAUUUUAUUUUAUUUUUUGGAAAAUAUAAUACUGGCCUCUCCAAAAUAUUUUUAUUUAAGCUACACAUAUAGUUUUGUCUCCCUAGGGUUCAGAUCCUGCUUGUGAAUUUGAAUCUGAUCAUACUAUAACACCCCAACUAGCUUAAGUAGAGCACAAAUCAACUAUAUUC